RNAcentral lists this ribosomal RNA (422 nucleotides) under uncultured bacterium. Its description in RNAcentral is "bacterial SSU rRNA". It matches the Rfam family "Bacterial small subunit ribosomal RNA", at positions 358 to 773 of the family's 1533-position model. The record is from RNAcentral.
AGAAUUUUUCUCAAUGGGGGAAACCCUGAAGGCGCGACGCCGCGUGGAGGAUGAAGGUCUUCGGAUUGUAAACUCCUCUCAUUAGGGAACAAUGUGCAGACGUUAACUGCGUUUGCAUUGAUAGUACCUGAAGAGGAAGAGACGGCUAACUCUGUGCCAGAAGCCGCGGUAAUACAGAGGUCUCAAGCGUUGUUCGGAUUCAUUGGGCGUAAAGGGUGCGUAGGCGGUGGGGUAAGUCAGGUGUGAAAUCUCGGGGCUCAACCCCGAAACUGCACUUGAUACUGCCCUGCUAGAGUACUGGAGAGGAGAUUGGAAUUUACGGUGUAGCAGUGAAAUGCGUAGAUAUCGUAAGGAAGACCAGUGGCGAAGGCGAAUCUCUGGACAGUUACUGACGCUGAGGCACGAAGGCCAGGGGAGCAAAC